GUGUAAGGCUCAGUGCGAGAGCAUCUACCUUGCAUGUGGAAGGGCCAAAGUUCAAUUCCUGGCAUCUCCA
Molecule: non-coding RNA, 70 nt
Organism: Podarcis lilfordi (Lilford's wall lizard)
Lineage: Eukaryota; Metazoa; Chordata; Lepidosauria; Squamata; Lacertidae
Source: the annotation of a GenBank genome assembly